AGCUUUGCGCAGUGGCAGUAUCGUAGCCAAUGAGGUUUAUCCGAGGCGCGAUUAUUGCUAGUUGAAAACUUUUCCCAUACCCCCGCGCUAUGACGGCUUGAAAUACAGCCGACAAUGGCAAUUUUUGACAGUCUCUAAGGAGA
RNAcentral lists this small nuclear RNA (143 nucleotides) under Leptobrachium leishanense (Leishan spiny toad). RNAcentral describes it as "U4 spliceosomal RNA (ENSLLEG00000027545.1)". It matches the Rfam family "U4 spliceosomal RNA". From Rfam's summary of the family: U4 small nuclear RNA (U4 snRNA) is a component of the major U2-dependent spliceosome. The structure of U4 snRNA from yeast and human has been reported. Lineage: Eukaryota; Metazoa; Chordata; Amphibia; Anura; Megophryidae. The record is from Rfam by way of RNAcentral.